Triticum dicoccoides is the source of this 1975-nucleotide long non-coding RNA. RefSeq lists it as uncharacterized. Lineage: Eukaryota; Viridiplantae; Streptophyta; Magnoliopsida; Poales; Poaceae. The record is from RefSeq and is a predicted model, not a curated record. The transcript has 4 exons.
GUCGGUUCCCCGCUCCCCCACCGCAGCUGCCCUGCUCCCCGCCGUCGCGGCUCCCCUGCUCCCCCGCUCCCUCACCGCAGCUUCCUCCUGCUCUGCCGCCGCAGCUGCCGCUCACCUGCCUCCCCAAGCUCCCCCCUUUCCUCAUAAAAAUCUUCGAUUGUCCCAGCUACUGCCACGCUCUGCUCCGGCUGCGUAGGAACCGGCGUCAAUGAGCCCGCAGGCACUGGAUCCUGACCACCACCAACAAUCUAAAGGUCGAUGAGGCCUGGAGGCGUAGGAUUUGCGAGCGUGGAAGACGACGGCGGCGGCGAUGAGACAGCUCCACUAGGAAUACAACGGCGGUGGCUUCUUUGUUGUUUCUGUGGUGGAAGACCCACGCCUACGACACCGCGGCAGGGGGGAAAUCCCCUGCUCCCCCGCUCCCUCCCCGCAGCUGCCUCCUGCUCCGCCAACGCCACCGCGGCGGACGAUGAGAUGCCCUGCUGGCUCCCAACGGCGAUGUCAACCUCAACGGCGCGAGCUUCUGCUCGGGGGACGGCGCGGUUCAGCGACGACGAGAUCUUCCUCACCAAAUCGCCGACCAAAUCGUCGAGGAGAGCAAGUUCCUCAUCCACCGCACCGCCACCUCCUCUGCUCUCGUCCUUCCAGGUCAGGAGAGCAACAAUGCACACGCAGCGCAGAUUUGUGCGUCUUCUCCAUGCAAUCUUGUUUACUUAAUCUUCAGCCUGGGCCAUCUCUGUCACCAACGCCUACAACCUGGGAACAUGAGCUCUGGCGGCAACACAAAGAAUUCAGUAAACACUAUUUUUGCAGAAUUGUUGUUGUCAGUUAACUGAAACUACAGCACAUUCCAAUCAAUUGGCUGCAGUAAAGAACUGAAGAGAUGUUAGUUUUUCCCACAUUUUGGAAAGAACCAUGCACAAAGGAAACAAACACUUCAUCUGAUGGUGUACCUUCUUAAGCUAGCAGUACUCUGAUGGAGUACCUUCUUCAGAGGGCAAAUAGCACCAGCAGCAGCAGUCACGGCGGCAGUCAACAGCAACAACAGAGGAGCAGUAGCAUCAACACGAAUCAGCAACAGCAGCACAGGCAGAGGAGCAGUAGCAUCAACACGAAUCAGCAACAGCAGCACAGGCAGAGGAGCAGUAGCAUCAACACGGGAAGAGGAGCAGGAGCAGCACGGGAGCUCCACCGGCGGCAGGGGAGAAACAGAGGAGAAACAAGAUGCAGCAGCACGGGCUAGCACCACAGGCGGGCACGCAGGCAGAGAAGGAGCACCACGGCGGCGUGUGGGAGCUCGACGAGGACUCACGGGAGACCACGGAGGACGCGUGCGAGCUGCUGUCCACGACGGAUCGUGGAGGCCAGCUCCGACAAUGCCCGUAGUUGGAUCGCGGUGGCGCACGGGAGGCAGCUCAAGGUGGACUCGCGGGAGCACGAGGAGGACUCGCGGGAGCUCGAGUACGAUGAGAGGGAGCUCCUGCUCCACCAGAUCGUGGUGGCAAAUUCCAGCGACACCCGCAGGUAAUCGCCGCCGGAGGGGAUCGCGGCGGCGCAGGUCUGGGCGGCGGCGGCGGAGCAAGUACUUGGCGACGGCGGCGGCGUUGAAGGUACGUGGUGACGGAGGCGGAACACUUCCUGGUGGGCGGCAAUCACGCAGCUUGGCGGCGCCGGCCCCUGGAGACGCACGGGCGACGGCGGAGGAAGACGACGGGGGUGGAGGGACUUGUUUGUGAUUGUUUUGAAACUACGAGGGCUUUUUUAUAAAAUUGGCAAUGAUCUACGCCUGCGACAUGUUUUUCGGGACGGAGGGAGUAUAUAUUUUCAGGAGAAGAACAAGCAUGUAUUCUCCUUAGAGAAAAUUUACAUCUCAACAAUGCAGGAUUUUCUAUGUCACAUCAGGAUGGCUCCAAAAACAUGUGUCAUGUUGAAUUGUCUAAAGAAAGUAAUAAUAAUGAGCUAUUUGCAUGUCUUA